GACGAACGCUGGCGGCGUGCUUAACACAUGCAAGUCGAACGGAAAGGCCCUGCUUUUGGGGGGUGCUCGAUUGGCGAACGGGGGAGAAACACGUGAGUAACCUCCCCUUGACUUUGGGAUAACUUCAGGAAACUGGGGCUAAUACCGGAUAGGAUCUCCUGCUGCAUGGUGGGGGUUGGAAAGUUUCGGCGGUUGGGGAUGGACUCGCGGCUUAUCAGCUUGUUGGUGGGGUAGUGGCUUACCAGGGCUUUGACGGGUAGCCGGCCUGAGAGGGUGACCGGCCACAUUGGGACUGAGAUACGGACCAGACUCCUACGGGAGGCAGCAGUGGGGAAUAUUGCACAAUGGGCGGAAGCCUGACGCAGCAACGCCGCGUGCGGGAUGACGGCCUUCGGGUUGUAAACCGCUUUCGCCUGUGACGAAGCGUGAGUGACGGUAAUGGGUAAAGAAGCACCGGCUAACUACGUG
RNAcentral lists this ribosomal RNA (468 nucleotides) under uncultured bacterium. RNAcentral describes it as "partial 16S ribosomal RNA". It matches the Rfam family "Bacterial small subunit ribosomal RNA", at positions 28 to 507 of the family's 1533-position model. The record is from RNAcentral.